This 478-nucleotide ribosomal RNA is filed under the name uncultured bacterium. Its description in RNAcentral is "partial 16S ribosomal RNA". It matches the Rfam family "Bacterial small subunit ribosomal RNA", at positions 28 to 507 of the family's 1533-position model. The record is from RNAcentral.
GAUGAACGCUGGCGGCGUGCUUAACACAUGCAAGUCGAACGGGAAUUAUUUUAUUGAAACUUCGGUCGAUUUAAUUUAAUUCUAGUGGCGGACGGGUGAGUAACGCGUGGGUAACCUGCCUUAUACAGGGGGAUAACAGUCAGAAAUGGCUGCUAAUACCGCAUAAGCGCACAGAGCUGCAUGGCUCAGUGUGAAAAACUCCGGUGGUAUAAGAUGGACCCGCGUUGGAUUAGCUGGUUGGUGGGGUAACGGCCCACCAAGGCGACGAUCCAUAGCCGGCAUGAGAGGGUGAACGGCCACAUUGGGACUGAGACACGGCCCAGACUCCUACGGGAGGCAGCAGUGGGGAAUAUUGCACAAUGGGGGAAACCCUGAUGCAGCGACGCCGCGUGAAGGAAGAAGUAUCUCGGUAUGUAAACUUCUAUCAGCAGGGAAGAUAGUGACGGUACCUGACUAAGAAGCCCCGGCUAACUACGUG